RNAcentral lists this ribosomal RNA (472 nucleotides) under uncultured bacterium. RNAcentral's name for it is "bacterial SSU rRNA". It matches the Rfam family "Bacterial small subunit ribosomal RNA", at positions 8 to 524 of the family's 1533-position model. The record is from RNAcentral.
AGAGUUUGAUCCUGGCUCAGAGCGAACGCUGGCGGCAGGCUUAACACAUGCAAGUCGAACGGGCGUAGCAAUACGUCAGUGGCAGACGGGUGAGUAACACGUGGGAACGUACCUUUUGGUUCGGAACAACUGAGGGAAACUUCAGCUAAUACCGGAUAAGCCCUUACGGGGAAAGAUUUAUCGCCGAAAGAUCGGCCCGCGUCUGAUUAGCUAGUUGGUGAGGUAAUGGCUCACCAAGGCGACGAUCAGUAGCUGGUCUGAGAGGAUGAUCAGCCACAUUGGGACUGAGACACGGCCCAAACUCCUACGGGAGGCAGCAGUGGGGAAUAUUGGACAAUGGGCGAAAGCCUGAUCCAGCCAUGCCGCGUGAGUGAUGAAGGCCCUAGGGUUGUAAAGCUCUUUUGUGCGGGAAGAUAAUGACGGUACCGCAAGAAUAAGCCCCGGCUAACUUCGUGCCAGCAGCCGCGGUAAU